GACGAACGCUGGCGGCGUGCUUAACACAUGCAAGUCGAACGGUAAGGCCCUUCGGGGUACACGAGUGGCGAACGGGUGAGUAACACGUGGGUGAUCUGCCCUGCACUUCGGGAUAAGCCUGGGAAACUGGGUCUAAUACCGGAUAGGACCCUGGGAUGCAUGUCCUGGGGUGGAAAGCUUUUGCGGGGUGGGUUGGGCCCGCGGCCUAUCAGCUUGUUGGUGGGGUGAUGGCCUACCAAGGCGACGACGGGUAGCCGGCCUGAGGGGGUGACCGGCCACACUGGGAAUGAGAUACGGCCCAGACUCCUACGGGAGGCAGCAGUGGGGAAUAUUGCACAAUGGGCGCAAGCCUGAUGCAGCGACGCCGCGUGAGGGAUGACGGCCUUCGGGUUGUAAACCUCUUUCAGCACCGACGAAGCGCAAGUGACGGUAGGUGCAGAAGAAGGACCGGCCAACUACGUGCCAGCCGCCGCGGUAA
Molecule: ribosomal RNA, 478 nt
Filed under: uncultured bacterium
Lineage: Bacteria
Description: partial 16S ribosomal RNA
Rfam family: Bacterial small subunit ribosomal RNA
Source: RNAcentral